UACGUAGGGCGCAAGCGUUGUCCGGAAUCAUUGGGCGUAAAGAGCUCGUAGGCGGCCUGUCGCGUCCGCUGUGAAAUCCCGGGGCUUAACCCCGGGCGUGCAGUGGAUACGGGCUGGCUGGAGGCAGGCAGGGGAGAACGGAAUUCCCGGUGUAGCGGUGAAAUGCGCAGAUAUCGGGAGGAACACCGGUGGCGAAGGCGGUUCUCUGGGCCUUACCUGACGCUGAGGAGCGAAAGCGUGGGGAGCGAACAGG
Molecule: ribosomal RNA, 253 nt
Filed under: uncultured bacterium
Lineage: Bacteria
Description: partial 16S ribosomal RNA
Rfam family: Bacterial small subunit ribosomal RNA
Source: RNAcentral